GGGUGCCAAUUGAGACACAACUUUAGAAAUGAAGGUUCUGUACUGUCUCAUAAUGAAUGUUCUGUACUGUGUCAUAAAGAAUGUUCUGUACUGUGUCAUAAUGAAGGUUCUGUACUGUCUCAUAAUGAAUGUUCUGUACUGUGUCAUAAUGAAGGUUCUGUACUGUCUCAUAAUGAAGGUUCUGUACUGUGUCAUAAUGAAGGUUCUGUACUGUGUCAUAAUGAAGGUUCUGUACUGUGUCAUAAUGAAGGUUCUGUACUGUGUCAUAAUGAAGGUUCUGUACUGUGUCAUAAUGAAGGUUCUGUACUGUGUCAUAAUGAAGGUUCUGUACUGUGUCAUAAUGAAGGUUCUGUACUGUGUCAUAAUGAAGGUUCUGUACUGUGUCAUAAUGAAGGUUCUGUACUGUCUCAUAAUGAAGGUUCUGUACUGUGUCAUAAUGAAGGUUCUGUACUGUGUCAU
This is a long non-coding RNA of Oncorhynchus keta (chum salmon), 459 nucleotides long. RefSeq lists it as uncharacterized. The record is from RefSeq and is a predicted model, not a curated record. NCBI's taxonomy places the organism in Eukaryota, Metazoa, Chordata, Actinopteri, Salmoniformes, Salmonidae. The transcript is spliced from 3 exons.